Non-coding RNA from Phoenix dactylifera (date palm), 990 nucleotides. The record is from RefSeq and is a predicted model, not a curated record. Lineage: Eukaryota; Viridiplantae; Streptophyta; Magnoliopsida; Arecales; Arecaceae.
UGGCAGGCAUGCAGGAAUCCGACGUUUGUUGACAGGGUCCGAUGCAUUCUGGUUCUGGGCCGCUCAUUUUUCUUGCUAUGCCGGCCCAGAAGCCCAAAAAAACCCACCGUUCCUCGCCCGCGCCGCCUCCGCGAAUUAGGGUUUUUCCAGGUACAGACAAAACCCAGCCGUCGAUGCGCGGGCUUUCGCAUCCGAACCCUCCGUGCCCAUCCGAGUCCCGCCGCGAUAAAUGAUGAACGAGAAGGGGUCGCUCCCCCGACCAGCAGCAGCUCUUUAACCCUAAUACGUCCCCCUCUCUCUCUCUCUCUCUCUCUCUCUCGGGUUUUCUUCCCCCCACCCCAACGCACACACAACUGCACCUAGACUAUUCAUCGAGAGUGUUAGCUCGGUUUCUUUCGAGAAGAAUCUCGAUCUCGAGCAGCCGAGGCCGGGAUUGACCUGAUCUGAUAGCUGGGUCAUCAGCUAUGUCGUCGACGAGCUCCUCGUCGAAGGCCUCGCUAACAACUGCACAGGCGAGGGAUGAUAUAGUCGAGCAAUUGAAGGAUGCGGCGAAAAAUUCAUUCAAGAGUUAAUGAGGCCAUCUGAUGCUGUGAUUCAUGCGUCUGGUCAGAGGAUCGACAUAGUGUAUGGCUGAAAUGGGCGAACUUAGGCUUGUGGUGUGGAAAUCUAUUUGAUGUCUACCGGCCAAGUUUUCGCUGAUAGUUGUUGCUGCAGUUAUCGGAGUCAUUGCAAAAACAUGACUGCAUCUCUGCCGGCCCAUUUUUGUUGAUAGUGGUGAUAGUGUCGAUACUGACUGGCUUGUUUUUCUGGCCCGAAGACUUGCGUAUUAGGCGAGUUGUGCAAUUUUGCAAUUUUCUCCUCGAUUUUAUUAUCCAUCGGCAUAAAAGCCAUCAUCGUCAUUUAUGUUUAAACGUUCAAAAUUGUUGGAUUGUUGUGAGGAAAAUGAAUGCCUGCAAUCUUUUAUCUUGGAUGUCCAAGAAAAUUUUGAAA